RNAcentral lists this ribosomal RNA (445 nucleotides) under uncultured Glomus. RNAcentral's name for it is "SSU rRNA". It matches the Rfam family "Eukaryotic small subunit ribosomal RNA", at positions 563 to 1011 of the family's 1831-position model. Lineage: Eukaryota; Fungi; Glomeromycota; Glomeromycetes; Glomerales; Glomeraceae. The record is from RNAcentral.
GGUGCCAGCAGCCGCGGUAAUUCCAGCUCCAAUAGCGUAUAUUAAAGUUGUUGCAGUUAAAAAGCUCGUAGUUGAAUUUCGGGAUCAAUAUUUCGGUCAUGCCGUUGGUAUGCACUGUUAUCAUUGAUUUCUCACCUUCUAAAGAACCGUAAUGCCAUUAAUUUGGUGUUACGGGGAAUUAGGACUGUUACCUUGAAAAAAUUAGAGUGUUUAAAGCAGGCUCACGCUUGAAUACAUUAGCAUGGAAUAAUGAAAUAGGACAUCCGAUUCUAUUUUGUUGGUUUCUAGGAUCGAUGUAAUGAUUAAUAGGGAUAGUUGGGGGCAUUAGUAUUCAAUUGUCAGAGGUGAAAUUCUUGGAUUUAUUGAAGACUAACUACUGCGAAAGCAUUUGCCAAGGAUGUUUUCAUUAAUCAAGAACGAAAGUUAGGGGAUCGAAGACGAUCAG